RNAcentral lists this ribosomal RNA (1270 nucleotides) under Megymenum brevicorne. RNAcentral's name for it is "16S ribosomal RNA". The stretch from base 1034 to 1194 matches the Rfam family "Bacterial large subunit ribosomal RNA", at positions 2473 to 2632 of the family's 2925-position model. Lineage: Eukaryota; Metazoa; Arthropoda; Insecta; Hemiptera; Dinidoridae. The record is from RNAcentral.
AUUUUAAUUAAAUAUUUAAUUUAGUUUUUAUUUAUAGGUUUUUGAUAGAAAUAUCUUUAUAUUUAAGUAUAUUUUAUAGAAAUAAUUUAUCUUUUAUUUAUAGUUAAUUUUACUGUGAAGGUAAAUUGUAGAAUUUUAUUAAAGUAGAAUUAGUUUGUUGUACCUUUUGUAUCAGGGUUUAUUAAUUAUAUGUCUCUAUUGAUAUCUUUCCCGAAAUUAUAAGUGCUAUUAUGUUUUGCUGUUUAUUGUUACAUAAAUAUAUGUGAAUAUAUAAUAGGGGUUAUAUGCUAUUCAAUUAUAAAUAUCUGGUUUUCUAAGAAAUAAAUUUAAUUUAGAGAGGGAUAAAUUUAUUAGUUUAGUUAAUUACUAUUAAUAUCUUUUCUUAAUAUGCUAAGGGAUAAGCUUUAGUGUAGUUCUAUAAUAUUUUUAUUUAUAUGAUAUUAUGUAGGUUUAGGAACGGCCAUCUUGUAAUUUCGUUAUAGUUUAAUUUUAUUAUUAGAUUUAUUUAUUAAUAUUUAGAAUUUUAUUAGAAUAAUUUCUUUAAUAAUACAUGAGAAGUAAUAAUGAUAGAAUUAGUAAUUGUGUUAAUUUAUAUAUAGUAAUUCGGCAAAUUUAGUAUUCACCUGUUUAUCAAAAACAUGUCCUGUUGGAUAUUUAAAUCAGGUCUAACCUGCCCACUGAUAGUUAAUUGAAGGGCCGCAGUAAUUUGACUGUGCGAAGGUAGCAUAAUCAUUUGUCUAUUAAUUGUAGGCUUGUAUGAAUGGUUUGAUGAGAUACUGGCUUUCUUUAUAUAAAAGGAUGAAUUUAAUUUUUAAGUUAAAAAGCUUAAAUAGUAUUGGAGGACGAGAAGACCCUAUAGAAUUUUAUUAUUAUAUUAUUUUAUCUUUUUUUGGAUGUUUAAUGAUUAAAUUUAAGAUAAUAAAUAAUUGUGUUGGGGCGAUAUGGAAAUAUUAUGAACUUUCUUUAUUUAUUAUUUAUUGAUUUGUAUUUUAAGGAUCCUCUUUUUGGGAUUAUAAGAUUAAAUUACCUUAGGGAUAACAGCGUAAUUUUUAUGGAGAGUUCUUAUCGAUAUAGGAGUUUGCGACCUCGAUGUUGGAUUAAAUUAAGUUUCUGGUGUAGGUGCUAGGAUUUACUAGGUCUGUUCGACCUUUAAUUAUUUACAUGAUCUGAGUUCAGACCGGCGUGAGCCAGGUUGGUUUCUAUCCUCAACUGGCAUUAUUUAUCUUAGUACGAAAGGACUUGGUAAAUUGAAUAAUUCAUAAAUAAUGGA